AGAUUGGGAUCGUGACAUGGAUUCCAUGCUUGUCUUUCUGGAUGAGAGUUUGAAGACCUCGGCAGAUAGUAGAGCUAACACGGUUGGUGAAACUGAUCUGGCUUCCCAACCCACGUUCAGGAUUGAGCCUCUGGGAGGUGCUGAGGGUGUGUCUGCAGGGAGGACUUUCCCAGGUCCAUUGGUGGAUGUUGCACGCAGGCCCAGCUCCCAUGGCAGGGGU
Molecule: long non-coding RNA, 220 nt
Organism: Passer domesticus (house sparrow)
Lineage: Eukaryota; Metazoa; Chordata; Aves; Passeriformes; Passeridae
Exons: 3
Source: RefSeq, a predicted model, not a curated record